RNAcentral lists this ribosomal RNA (301 nucleotides) under uncultured bacterium. RNAcentral's name for it is "partial 16S ribosomal RNA". It matches the Rfam family "Bacterial small subunit ribosomal RNA", at positions 509 to 807 of the family's 1533-position model. The record is from RNAcentral.
CAGCCGCCACGGGAAUACGAAGGGGACUAGCGUUGCUCGGAAUCACUGGGCGUAAAGGGUGCGUAGGCGGGUCUUUAAGUCAGGGGUGAAAUCCUGGAGCUCAACUCCAGAACUGCCUUUGAUACUGAAGAUCUUGAGUUCGGGAGAGGUGAGUGGAACUGCGAGUGUAGAGGUGAAAUUCGUAGAUAUUCGCAAGAACACCAGUGGCGAAGGCGGCUCACUGGCCCGAUACCGACGCUGAGGCACGAAAGCGUGGGGAGCAAACAGGAUUAGAUACCCCCGUAGUCCCUGUCUCUUAUAC